Molecule: ribosomal RNA, 247 nt
Filed under: uncultured bacterium
Lineage: Bacteria
Description: partial small subunit ribosomal RNA
Rfam family: Bacterial small subunit ribosomal RNA
Source: RNAcentral
AGAAUCAACGCUGGCGGCGUGCCUAACACAUGCAAGUCGAACGAGAAAGUGGUAGCAAUACCAUGAGUAAAGUGGCGCACGGGUGAGUAACACGUGACUAACCUACCCUGGAGUGGGGGAUAACUGAGGGAAACCUUAGCUAAUACCGCAUAAUACCUACGGGUCAAAGGAGCAAUUCGCUUCAGGAGGGGGUCGCGGCCGAUUAGUUAGUUGGCGGGGUAAUGGCCCACCAAGACAGUGAUCGGUA